GCUCCCGUCGUCCAAAGGAUAGGGCACACGGCUACGGACCGUGGAAUAGGGGUUCGAAUCCUCUCGGGAGUA
This 72-nucleotide transfer RNA is filed under the name Thermoplasmata archaeon. Its description in RNAcentral is "tRNA-Arg". It matches the Rfam family "tRNA". Rfam says of the family: Transfer RNA (tRNA) molecules are approximately 80 nucleotides in length. Their secondary structure includes four short double-helical elements and three loops (D, anti-codon, and T loops). Further hydrogen bonds mediate the characteristic L-shaped molecular structure. tRNAs have two regions of fundamental functional importance: the anti-codon, which is responsible for specific mRNA codon recognition, and the 3' end, to which the tRNAs corresponding amino acid is attached (by aminoacyl-tRNA synthetases). tRNAs cope with the degeneracy of the genetic code in two manners: having more than one tRNA (with a specific anti-codon) for a particular amino acid; and 'wobble' base-pairing, i.e. permitting non-standard base-pairing at the 3rd anti-codon position. RNAcentral also lists the same sequence under 1 other name. The record is from RNAcentral. Lineage: Archaea; Methanobacteriati; Thermoplasmatota; Thermoplasmata.